Tachysurus fulvidraco (yellow catfish) is the source of this 882-nucleotide long non-coding RNA. RefSeq lists it as uncharacterized. NCBI's taxonomy places the organism in Eukaryota, Metazoa, Chordata, Actinopteri, Siluriformes, Bagridae. The record is from RefSeq and is a predicted model, not a curated record. The transcript has 2 exons.
UUCCUCUUUCUUCUUCCUCCCUCCCUCUUUCUUAAUUCCUUCCCCUUUUAUUUUCUUCCUUACUUCCUCUUUCUCUCGUUUCUUAUUUCCUUUUUUCCUUCCUUUCUAUCUUCCAGAUUGCGAAAGUACCGACUACACGUUAACGCCGUAUUUACUUUUUCCAUAAAAAAAGUGUGUUGAGUGAAAGUCGUCACGUCCACGAAGAACACGAGUAGUUUCACACCCAUAAAAAAAAAAAGAGGAUUAUUAGACGAUUACUAAAAAAGAUUACUAUAUCUAAAUUUUAUAUAUUGUGACCAGGACACUCACAAGUUCACCUAAUUAAGUAAGUAAAUAAAACGAGUCGUCUUUCACGUCCCACAUCCUUUCCCCUGAAGUUAAUUCUUUUUUUUUUCUUAUUUACUCGACUGCACCGAGUCAUUUUCAGGUAUCGUCUUACAGCAGCAACGAGUCAGAAACACGUAACAUGAAGUCGGUACUCCAGAAGUCUCAGGAGGGGAAAAAAGAGACACGAGUCUCUUGUAACGAGAGACAGACAGAGAGGCGAGAACAGAAAAAUACAACAAGAGUUCAUCAGUCUGUUGGAUCAUGUAGAGGACAGACGGCGGCAAACAGAUCACACGACUACAAUACUGCCACGGGCUCGUCGGCACCGAGACCGGCCUUCUUUGUUCUUAGUGUGUGUGUUUGUGUGUGUGAGAAAUGUAUUGCGUACGUUAAAUGUAUUGUAGAGGUUUUGGAGAAUGAAUGGCUGAAUGGAACCAUGUGGUUUGAGUACAGUAUUGAGGAGAAUUUAUUGAGAAAAAGGACAAAAAAAAUUCUUUAAACAGAAUUAAAACAACCUAAACAACUUGGCAAUUUCACUGAAGAUUAAAAAAACAA